This 64-nucleotide transfer RNA is filed under the name Heterocephalus glaber (naked mole-rat). It matches the Rfam family "tRNA", at positions 1 to 62 of the family's 71-position model. Rfam says of the family: Transfer RNA (tRNA) molecules are approximately 80 nucleotides in length. Lineage: Eukaryota; Metazoa; Chordata; Mammalia; Rodentia; Bathyergidae. The record is from Rfam by way of RNAcentral.
AGGGAUUUAGCUCAGUGGUUUGAGCGCCUGCCUCACAAGCACAAGGUCCCAAGUUCAAUCCCUG